This 253-nucleotide ribosomal RNA is filed under the name uncultured bacterium. Its description in RNAcentral is "partial 16S ribosomal RNA". It matches the Rfam family "Bacterial small subunit ribosomal RNA", at positions 524 to 776 of the family's 1533-position model. The record is from RNAcentral.
UACGUAGGUGGCAAGCGUUGUCCGGAAUUAUUGGGCGUAAAGCGCACGUAGGCGGUUUGUUAAGUCGGAUGUGAAAGCCCUGGGCUCAACCCAGGAAGUGCAUUCGAAACUAGCAGACUUGAAUAUGGAAGAGGGUCGCGGAAUUCCCGGUGUAGAGGUGAAAUUCGUAGAUAUCGGGAGGAACACCAGUGGCGAAGGCGGCGACCUGGGCCAAUAUUGACGCUGAGGUGCGAAAGCGUGGGGAGCAAACAGG